CCUUCGAUAGCUCAGUUGGUAGAGCGGUGGACUGUAGCGAAAGUUAGGAGAAGUUGCGAUCAUGUGAUCAAAACUUCGAUCAUUAUAGUAGAAAUCCAUAGGUCACUGGUUCAAAUCCGGUUCGAAGGA
This 129-nucleotide transfer RNA is filed under the name Anopheles merus. Its description in RNAcentral is "tRNA tRNA-Tyr". It matches the Rfam family "tRNA". From Rfam's summary of the family: Transfer RNA (tRNA) molecules are approximately 80 nucleotides in length. Their secondary structure includes four short double-helical elements and three loops (D, anti-codon, and T loops). The record is from RNAcentral. Lineage: Eukaryota; Metazoa; Arthropoda; Insecta; Diptera; Culicidae.